This 101-nucleotide small nuclear RNA is filed under the name Dasypus novemcinctus (nine-banded armadillo). Lineage: Eukaryota; Metazoa; Chordata; Mammalia; Cingulata; Dasypodidae. The record is from RNAcentral.
CCACUUGGGCAGUGAAUAUAUUAAAAAUUGGAAUGACAAAGAGAUUAGCAUAGCCCCUGCUCAAGGAUGACUGGCAAAUUUGUGAAGUAUUCCAUAUUUCU